CGUUCCCGGGUCUUGUACACACCGCCCGUCACACCACGGGAGUUGGGGCGCCCGAAGCCGGAUUGCUAACCUUUUGGAAGCGUCCGUCGAAGGUGAAAUCAAUAACUGGGGUG
RNAcentral lists this ribosomal RNA (113 nucleotides) under uncultured bacterium. RNAcentral describes it as "partial 16S ribosomal RNA". It matches the Rfam family "Bacterial small subunit ribosomal RNA", at positions 1369 to 1482 of the family's 1533-position model. The record is from RNAcentral.